UUCUCUCUCUCCGUCCUCAAGCUAAGCCGCUUUCUCUUGUUUUCAAAAUAAUACAGAAUGUGAAUAAUCUCUAAAAAUUCAGCCAUAAGGCUUUUAAUAACAUCCUUCUCUAAUAAAUUGCUACUACAUCCUUAACUAUUUAAAAAUAUUGAGUUUGCCCGGGAAAAAGUUUCCAUACAUCAUAUUCAGUCCAAAAGCUGCUUUCCUUUUUAUGUGAAGUUUCCUUUGCUGUCCACAGGUCCCCAAAGUGUUGUAAUCUUCCUCAUUAGUACCUGAAAAGCAUGCUAAUCACAUAGGUCAGCUCACUUAACUAAAAAGAGACUAAAAAUGCAAGAAUUAUGUAUUUUAUCCUCAAAACUUAGCUAAAACAUGGGGAAGUUAUGGUGCUUAGAGGUAUAAAUAUGCCCAACAUCACGUUAUAAAGUGGUAUCGUUAUACAGACUAUUGCUUGGAAGCAAUGUCACCAGCUAACACUUAGGGAAUUCCUGUGUACCCCACAGACUAUUAUUAAAAGUCACUUAGGGGAUUCCUUCAUACCUCACAAGGUUUUUAAAACCAGCCUUAACCAUUUAACCAUUUGUACUAUGUAUUAAAUUUCAAGAAAUAAGUUAAAUCAGACACUUUGGGGGAUUUCAUUGUACCCCUAAUUCAAAUUUCCACCUUUCUUAUAACUACUAGCCAGUUUUACAAUACAAGGUUGGGGUCAUAACCACUGUAAAAGUCACAAGUUUAAAGAAAGUUACCAUUACCAAGUUCAACCACCAAACCCAUGCACCCACAUGUUCAAAAUCAUAUUUAAAAAAAGGAAAGCCAUAAUUAAACCAUAAGAAAUAUAUUCAACAGAAACAUCUAAAAAAAACCCAACCUUUAUUUCAAACCAUAACAAUACCAUGAAAUCCAUACAUUAAAAAAUGUGUUUUUAAGUAAAAUAAUAGUGAGGGAGGAGUAAUAUGCCUUAGACACCAAGAAGUACGAAAAGAAAUCAACAUUGAAAGCCCCUAAUUAAUUAGUUUGAUGAAACCCUAGCUUUUGAUUGAAUAGAGAGCUUAAGAGAGGAUUUGAGAGUGUUUUAUUAGGAAUAAUGUGUUAAUGUAGUACGAAAGGAUAUUUCAAGUCAUGAAAUCAAAGGGACUUAAAGUGGAAAAUAUCCAAAAUGCCCUCAACUUAAAAACUGUAAAAAAGUUAUCUUUGGUUACGCGUCAACCUAUUGACUCGGCACCACAUCAUAUGACUUGUAGCCUUGAGUCAUAUCUUAGAAAGUGAGUUGGACACCCAUACGCUAUCCACCUUAUGACUUUAUGGUCCCAUUCGUAACCUGACUAUAUGACUCAUAUCGUCUAGUUGUAUCUAAGAUAAAACCCAAGGGAUUAGACACUGGACAACAUACAACUCAACCCUACCACUAGUAACCUAUCCUCAUAGCUCUUAGUGAACUACUCAUACUCAGAGCCAAGUCAAGCCACUAAGUUACUAAUCUAAUUUAAGGUUCAUCCUAUGAUUUGUCACCACCCCUAAUGACUCAUACCGCCAAUUUGUUACCAAGACUAAAAACCCAACUAUCAUCCACUGGAUACCCAACGACUAAGGUCACCUGACCCGUACCCACUCCAUAUGACUCGUAUGAUAAGUCGUCACUAGGACAGUAAGCUCAAAGCUAAAGAAUUUUCUAAGGGCCAAAAUUUAGGGAGUUUCAAUAUUGGUGUUUUUUUAUGAUAUCCUGAUUUAUAAUUUCUCUUAAAAGGACCAUUUAAGUCAUAUGCAAUAGGCUUUCAAAGUGUUAUAGUCCCACAAACUAUUUAUCAAGCUUAGUAAAUGCUCAUUUGAUAAAAUUGAGGUUGAUUACUUGGGUCAUAUUUUUACAAAACAAGGAGUAUUAGCUGACCCAGCAAGGUCAAGGUACUGAGGAAAUAGCCUACUCCUAAAUCUAUUAAGGAACUCAAGGGCUUUCUUUGACUGGCAGGUUAUUAUAGAAGGUUUGUGAAGAAUUAUGGGAUGUUAGUCAGACCUUUAUAUGAACUUUUAAAGAAGGACAAGUGGGAGUGGUCUGAUUCUAUUAUUGCCAUAUUUGAAGCUCUCAAACUACCAAUGAGUCCCACCUCUGUGCUGGCCUUCCAUGAUUUUUCAAAAGAGUUUAUAGUGGAGACUGAUGCUUCUGGGUAUGGGAUUGGUGUUAUUCUUAUCCAAGGAAGUGACCCCUUAGCUUAUAUGAGUAAAGACUUUAGUGAUGCUUAUCUAUCCAUGCAAGAUUGUGAAAAAUAGAUGUUUGCUAUUGUAAAGACUAUUGAAAAUUGAAGGACUUACUUAAUUGGGAGGCAUUUCAUCAUUAGGAUUGAUUAUCAAUAACUUAAGUACCUCAUGGAGCAGCGAAUAUCCACCCCAAGUCAACAAAAGUAGGUUGCCAAGUUGAUGGGGUAUGACUACAUAAUAGUUUACAAAUAUGGAAAGGUGAAUUUAGUUGCAGAUGACAUAUUCAGGUGUCUUACCUCCCCUGCGCUGCACCUACUGACUACUAUCAUCACUCAAAUUUUUUAGACAAGAUUAAGAUAUCAUACACCUCUAACAGUCACUUAUCCCAAUUGGUGCACCAGUUGUAGCAUAACCCAUUAUCCUGCACACUCUAUAUGUGGAUAAAUGAGGUAUUAUAUAGGAGAAGGAAGAUUAUUUUUGGGGAUAGUCCUGUGCUUAAUCAAGAGAUUCUACAUAGCUUACAUGAUAUUCUUGUAGAGGGGUAUUUAAUUAUCUCUGCAACACUUUUUAGAGUCAGUCAACAAUACAAUUAGAAGAAUAUAAAAAAAGAUAUUUACAAUCAUGUAAAAAAGUGUGAGAUUUGUCAGAAGUGUAAAAGUGAAAAUGUGAGAUAUCUUGGACUGUUACAGCCCCUUCCUAUCCCAGAUAAAGUAUGGCAAGACAAAAGCUUAGACUUCAUUGAGGGUUUACCUAAAUUCCACAACAAAUCAGUUAUUUUAUUGUAGUGGACAAACUUAGUAAGUCUGCUUAUUUCAUGUGUUUGAGGCAUCCUUACACUACUUCAAUUGUGGCUUACAUAUUUCUAGAUCAUGUGUACAAGUUGCAUUGUCUACCUUGCACUAUUAUUAGUAACAGAACUAGCUUCAUCACUUUUUAGCAUAUCAUCCUCGAUCGGAUGGACAAACUGGGGUUGUGAAUGAGUGUGUAGAAGAUUACUUGAUAUGCAUGUGCAGUGACAGACCCAAAGAAUGAGUUCAGUGGUUACCCCUUAUUGAAUGGUGGUACAAUAUCACUUAUCAUUUUGCUAUUAAACUGACUCCUUUUGAGGUUCUUUAUGGUUAAAAACCCCUACCCGAUUCCCCUUAUAUUCAUCAUAUCUCUUUUGUUGAUACAGUGGAUAGAAGCUUACAAGAUAGAGAAAGCACUAUUAGGCUCUUAACACAUUAUUUGUUACUAGCUCAAGACAGGAUGAAAGCACAUGUUGACAAGAACAGAUGUGACGGAGUUUUUGCUGUUGGUGAUAGUAUGUUUAUCAAACUCCAACCCUACAGACAACUAUUUCUUAAGAGUCAUGCCUACCAAAAGUUGAAUCCUAAGUAUUUUGGUCCCUUAGUUCUGCUCAAGAGGAUUGGCUCUACUUCUUAUUGGUUGCAGCUCUCUUCUCAGGCCAAAAUUCAUAAUAUUUUUCAUGCCUCUCAAUUAAAGAAGUUCACUGGUGACAAACCUGAUGUUCCUACUCUUCCUGUCACUCUUUCUCCUCAUUGUUAUGUAGUGUUAGAACCUGAGGCUAUCCUUGACACGAGAUCCAUCAUGAAGGGGAAUAGUGAGAUCCUCCAGCACUUGAUGAAAUGGUUUAAUAGCCCUUCUGAAGACAACUCUUAGGUUGAUGCAACUUCCCUUCCUCAGCAGUUCCACAGUUUAGUCCUUGAAGUCAAGGGCUCUUUUGGGAAGGGGGGAG
RNAcentral lists this long non-coding RNA (3925 nucleotides) under Capsicum annuum. RNAcentral describes it as "long non-coding RNA (CANN_LNC000288)". The record is from RNAcentral. Lineage: Eukaryota; Viridiplantae; Streptophyta; Magnoliopsida; Solanales; Solanaceae.